CCCAAGGGUUCGGCUGUUCGCCGAUUAAAGUGGCACGCGAGCUGGGUUCAGAACGUCGCGAGACAGUUCGGUCCCUAUCUGUUGUGGGCGUUGGAAAUUUGAGUGGGGCUGACCUUAGUACGAGAGGACCGGGUUGGACUGACCUCUAGUGAAUCUGUUGUUCCGCCAGGGGCAUUGCAGAGUAGCUAUGUCGGGAAUAGAUAAGCGCUGAAAGCAUCUAAGUGCGAAACUAGCCACAAGAUGAGAUUUCCAUUGAGGAUCGUCGAAGACUACGACGUUGAUAGGUUAUAGAUGUAAAGCGUGUGAGCGCAAAGUCGAGUAAUACUAAUUAUCCGAUACUUUCAGCAAA
This 349-nucleotide ribosomal RNA is filed under the name Bacteroidota bacterium. RNAcentral describes it as "Bacteroidetes bacterium (groundwater metagenome) partial 23S ribosomal RNA". It matches the Rfam family "Bacterial large subunit ribosomal RNA", at positions 2564 to 2925 of the family's 2925-position model. Lineage: Bacteria; Pseudomonadati; Bacteroidota. The record is from RNAcentral.